Molecule: long non-coding RNA, 1322 nt
Organism: Micropterus salmoides (largemouth bass)
Lineage: Eukaryota; Metazoa; Chordata; Actinopteri; Centrarchiformes; Centrarchidae
Exons: 2
Source: RefSeq, a predicted model, not a curated record
UGAUUUGGAUCUGAACCUGGACCUUUUGGAUAGGUGCUGCAGAGCUUUAGACCAGGUCUGAACUUGAGUCCUCUUCACUGGCUCUCUAUCAAACCCAGAAUCCAAUUCAAGGCUCUUAGUAACUUCUAGAGCUCUGCAGGUCUCUGAGGCACUUCUAGAUUUGUGAGCUCUGUUUGUAUUUAUCAUGUGACCAUUCACCUACACUGAGCAUGUGCGUGCCGGUGUAAACAGGAAGCAGAUUGUCUACUCUGCAGCUAAAGAAGAAAGUUCUACUGGAGACGAACGCAGAGCAGCGAUGGUGAAGAACCACAGCAGAGACUUCUCUGCACGGAGCGACAGCGAGAUGGAACACGGGAGGUCAAAGAGGCUGUGGCGGCGGGAAACAGAGACCUGCAGAGUACAAGAGUAGAAGUGUUGUUUACACAGUACAGCAUGUUUUAAUAAAACUCUGUUUGACUGACUGAUAAGAGCCAAUCAGGAAACCAAACGUGAGCGUCUGCGUCAUCGUUUCCACCUGUCAGCACUAACACGCCGGAGUUUAAAACCAGAACGGGGUCAGCGGUGUUUUCAGACUUCUACGUUUCAGUCUGGACGGGAGGCGGAGACGUAGCAGAAGGGCUGAGUGUUAAAACCAAAAUGUAGUCGUGUGGACGGAGCCUGGCGUCCUCUGAUCAGGGUCUGCUGGUUGCUCCUCGAUCCAGGAAACUGAGGACUUUGAAGCAAACGGCGUUGCUGUGGCGAUGCGGCAGGAACUGUGGCACAAGGUUUGAACUAAAAGCUGAAAGAAGACCGUGUGACCUGCUGCAGAUACGAACCUCCUCCACCCACACCUGCACGUCCUGCCGAUGUUCUCCGAGCUGGAUGAAUUACCGACAGGACCUGAGAUGUGCAGCUGCUCCGAGACGUUCUGCAAAAAUCCCGUCCGCCUCGUUGUUUAUCAGCUAAAUCGUUCUUCACGUCUGUUUCAAUCUAUUUUAAAACGGUUUGAUACGGAUCUGUUCCCUUUGACCGCUGCUGAUCCAAAGCAAACAUGGCCGCUGGUCUGUUUUUUUGGCAGAUGGGGUUAAAACAAACGAGGCUCGGCGCUCCCUCACGGCUUUAAGUGCAGCAGAAAGAGGAGUAAUUGGACGUAGUGAGCUAUAGCUACAAACAAUCUCCCUCUUCUCCCCAAGAUUCAAAUUUACAGUUUGAAUGGCAGAAGAAGGGAAAAAAAUAUCUUUCAAUUACGCCUUUUCUCUUUUCCCCCCACAUUUAAAUUGGAAGUGAUCUCGGAGGAAAUAGUUAUCAUUCUAAUGACGGCCUCCAUUCAUUAAAACUCUCAU